GCGGGUGUAGCUCAAUGGUAGAGCAUCAGCUUCCCAAGCUGAGGGUUGCGGGUUCGAUCCCCGUCACCCGCUCCA
This 75-nucleotide transfer RNA is filed under the name Desulfofundulus thermobenzoicus. Its description in RNAcentral is "tRNA-Gly". It matches the Rfam family "tRNA". Rfam says of the family: Transfer RNA (tRNA) molecules are approximately 80 nucleotides in length. Their secondary structure includes four short double-helical elements and three loops (D, anti-codon, and T loops). RNAcentral also lists the same sequence under 10 other names. Lineage: Bacteria; Bacillati; Bacillota; Clostridia; Eubacteriales; Peptococcaceae. The record is from RNAcentral.